This 315-nucleotide ribosomal RNA is filed under the name uncultured eukaryote. Its description in RNAcentral is "partial 18S ribosomal RNA". It matches the Rfam family "Eukaryotic small subunit ribosomal RNA", at positions 1470 to 1796 of the family's 1831-position model. The record is from RNAcentral.
CCCUUAGAUGUCCUGGGCCGCACGCGUGCUACACUGACACUUACACCGAGUUUUUCCGGCCCCGAGAGGUGGCUGGUAAUCAGUAAUAGGUGUCGUGAUGGGGAUAGAUCUUUGGAAUUAUUGAUCUUGAACGAGGAAUGCCUAGUAAUCGUAGGUCAUCAGCCUGCGAUGAUUACGUCCCUGCCCUUUGUACACACCGCCCGUCGCUCCUACCGAUUUCGAGUGGUCCGGUGAACCUUUCGGACAGAGAGAGUCUCGUACAAUCUCUGAAAGUCAAGUAAACCACAUCACUUAGAGGAAGGAGAGGUCGUAACA